This 670-nucleotide long non-coding RNA is filed under the name Elaeis guineensis (African oil palm). RNAcentral describes it as "long non-coding RNA (EGUI_LNC005947)". The record is from RNAcentral. Lineage: Eukaryota; Viridiplantae; Streptophyta; Magnoliopsida; Arecales; Arecaceae.
AUCUAUGUAAGAUAUAAUUAACGGUUGAUAUCGUGAAACAAGAUAAAUCAAUCUUUCAUAUGAAAGAUACAAUUCAAACCCUGGCUGUAGUCCUUUACACCCUUGGUAAGGUGGCCAGUCUGUACACAUCUACCAUGUUCAAUCUAUAAACACAACAAUAUGGAUAGAACCUAAAUUAUAUCAAAGUGAUAUGGCUUCGGUUUCUUCCAAUCCAAAGACCAUUGAGUUAUUAACCAACGUGUUCCAUUUUGGUCGUUGGUGGGCAUUGCCUGCGUCCAGCUGUGCAACCGUGGUACGUCUCUCAGCAGAAGCUACAAAAAAUUUGUCACACCAUGUCAAAGUGGAAGACACAUAUACUACUAUUUCAGCAGACUCCCACACGACUCCUCACCCCGACUCAAUCACGGAAUUAUGCAUGGCCUCUCCUUUUUCUCGUUCUUCCAAUCUUCCAAAUUAGGCGACUCCAUUCUCUGAAAUCGGCAUCCAUUUUGAAGGCAACGAUGAUAACCGAUGCCAAGUGAGGUCCCUCGGAUUUUACUGAAAAACAAAAACAGCUAGUUAGCGACAUAUGAUUGGAUAUGGAAAUUUUUAAAAGUAUCAUGGAGGACACCACCGCACCAAAUUUGUUGCAAGCUGAGAGGGGUGCCCAUCAAUUGAGCUCAUGAUGAUU